RNAcentral lists this ribosomal RNA (458 nucleotides) under uncultured bacterium. Its description in RNAcentral is "partial 16S ribosomal RNA". It matches the Rfam family "Bacterial small subunit ribosomal RNA", at positions 338 to 795 of the family's 1533-position model. The record is from RNAcentral.
CCUACGGGUGGCAGCAGUGGGGAAUAUUGGGCAAUGGGCGCAAGCCUGACCCAGCAACGCCGCGUGAAGGAAGAAGGCUUUCGGGUUGUAAACCUCUUUUGUCAGGGAGCAAGGUGCAGGUCAGGACCUGCUGUGAGAGUACCUGAAGAAAAAGCAUCGGCUAACUCCGUGCCAGCAGCCGCGGUAAUACGGAGGAUGCGAGCGUUAUCCGGAUUUAUUGGGUUUAAAGGGUGCGCAGGCGGAGGCACAAGUCAGCGGUAAAAUCGCGGGGCUCAACCCCGCUCCGCCGUUGAAACUGUGUCCCUUGAGUGCGCGAAGGGUAGGCGGAAUGCGUGGUGUAGCGGUGAAAUGCAUAGAUAUCACGCAGAACUCCGAUCGCGAAGGCAGCCUACCGGCGCGCAACUGACGCUCAUGCACGAAAGCGUGGGUAUCGAACAGGAUUAGAUACCCCUGUAGUC